UACGAACCGGGCGAACGUUGUUCGGAAUCACUGGGCUUAAAGGGCGCGUAGGCGGCCUUACAAGUCAGAGGUGAAAUCCCACGGCUCAACCGUGGAACUGCCUUUGAUACUGUCGUGCUCGAGGCCGGGAGGGGGUAGCGGAAUUCCCAGUGUAGCGGUGAAAUGCGUAGAUAUUGGGAGGAACACCAGUGGCGAAGGCGGCUACCUGGACCGGUUCUGACGCUGAUGCGCGAAAGCGUGGGUAGCAAACAGG
Molecule: ribosomal RNA, 253 nt
Filed under: uncultured bacterium
Lineage: Bacteria
Description: partial 16S ribosomal RNA
Rfam family: Bacterial small subunit ribosomal RNA
Source: RNAcentral